This 253-nucleotide ribosomal RNA is filed under the name uncultured bacterium. RNAcentral's name for it is "partial 16S ribosomal RNA". It matches the Rfam family "Bacterial small subunit ribosomal RNA", at positions 524 to 776 of the family's 1533-position model. The record is from RNAcentral.
UACGGGGGGGGCAAGCGUUGUUCGGAAUUACUGGGCGUAAAGGGCUCGUAGGCGGCCAACUAAGUCCGACGUGAAAUCCCCGGGCUCAACCCGGGAACUGCGUCCGAUACUGGCAGGCUUGAAUCCGGGAGAGGGAUGCGGAAUUCCAGGUGUAGCGGUGAAAUGCGUAGAUAUCUGGAGGAACACCGGUGGCGAAGGCGGCAUCCUGGACCGGUAUUGACGCUGAGGCGCGAAAGCCAGGGGAGCAAACGGG